GCCUGGGUGGCUCAGUCAGUUAAGCGUCCGACUUCGGCUCAGGUCAUGAUCUCACAGCUCGUGGGUUCAAGCCCCACAUCGGGCU
RNAcentral lists this transfer RNA (85 nucleotides) under Felis catus (domestic cat). It matches the Rfam family "tRNA". From Rfam's summary of the family: Transfer RNA (tRNA) molecules are approximately 80 nucleotides in length. Their secondary structure includes four short double-helical elements and three loops (D, anti-codon, and T loops). Further hydrogen bonds mediate the characteristic L-shaped molecular structure. tRNAs have two regions of fundamental functional importance: the anti-codon, which is responsible for specific mRNA codon recognition, and the 3' end, to which the tRNAs corresponding amino acid is attached (by aminoacyl-tRNA synthetases). tRNAs cope with the degeneracy of the genetic code in two manners: having more than one tRNA (with a specific anti-codon) for a particular amino acid; and 'wobble' base-pairing, i.e. permitting non-standard base-pairing at the 3rd anti-codon position. The record is from Rfam by way of RNAcentral. RNAcentral also lists the same sequence under 1 other name. Lineage: Eukaryota; Metazoa; Chordata; Mammalia; Carnivora; Felidae.